RNAcentral lists this ribosomal RNA (1443 nucleotides) under uncultured organism. RNAcentral's name for it is "SSU rRNA". It matches the Rfam family "Bacterial small subunit ribosomal RNA". The record is from RNAcentral.
CGCUAGCUACAGGCUUAACACAUGCAAGUCGAGGGGCAUCAGGAAGAAAGCUUGCUUUCUUUGCUGGCGACCGGCGCACGGGUGAGUAACACGUAUCCAACCUGCCCUUUACUCGGGGAUAGCCUUUCGAAAGAAAGAUUAAUACCCGAUGGCAUAAUGAUUCCGCAUGGUUUCAUUAUUAAAGGAUUCCGGUAAAGGAUGGGGAUGCGUUCCAUUAGGUUGUUGGUGAGGUAACGGCUCACCAAGCCUUCGAUGGAUAGGGGUUCUGAGAGGAAGGUCCCCCACAUUGGAACUGAGACACGGUCCAAACUCCUACGGGAGGCAGCAGUGAGGAAUAUUGGUCAAUGGGCGCUAGCCUGAACCAGCCAAGUAGCGUGAAGGAUGAAGGCUCUAUGGGUCGUAAACUUCUUUUAUAUAAGAAUAAAGUGCAGUAUGUAUACUGUUUUGUAUGUAUUAUAUGAAUAAGGAUCGGCUAACUCCGUGCCAGCAGCCGCGGUAAUACGGAGGAUCCGAGCGUUAUCCGGAUUUAUUGGGUUUAAAGGGAGCGUAGGUGGACUGGUAAGUCAGUUGUGAAAGUUUGCGGCUCAACCGUAAAAUUGCAGUUGAUACUGUCAGUCUUGAGUACAGUAGAGGUGGGCGGAAUUCGUGGUGUAGCGGUGAAAUGCUUAGAUAUCACGAAGAACUCCGAUUGCGAAGGCAGCUCACUGGACUGCAACUGACACUGAUGCUCGAAAGUGUGGGUAUCAAACAGGAUUAGAUACCCUGGUAGUCCACACAGUAAACGAUGAAUACUCGCUGUUUGCGAUAUACAGUAAGCGGCCAAGCGAAAGCAUUAAGUAUUCCACCUGGGGAGUACGCCGGCAACGGUGAAACUCAAAGGAAUUGACGGGGGCCCGCACAAGCGGAGGAACAUGUGGUUUAAUUCGAUGAUACGCGAGGAACCUUACCCGGGCUUAAAUUGCAGUGGAAUGAUGUGGAAACAUGUCAGUGAGCAAUCACCGCUGUGAAGGUGCUGCAUGGUUGUCGUCAGCUCGUGCCGUGAGGUGUCGGCUUAAGUGCCAUAACGAGCGCAACCCUUAUCUUUAGUUACUAACAGGUCAUGCUGAGGACUCUGGAGAGACUGCCGUCGUAAGAUGUGAGGAAGGUGGGGAUGACGUCAAAUCAGCACGGCCCUUACGUCCGGGGCUACACACGUGUUACAAUGGGGGGUACAGAAGGCAGCUAGCGGGUGACCGUAUGCUAAUCCCAAAAUCCUCUCUCAGUUCGGAUCGAAGUCUGCAACCCGACUUCGUGAAGCUGGAUUCGCUAGUAAUCGCGCAUCAGCCACGGCGCGGUGAAUACGUUCCCGGGCCUUGUACACACCGCCCGUCAAGCCAUGGGAGCCGGGGGUACCUGAAGUACGUAACCGCAAGGAUCGUCCUAGGGUAAAACUGGUGACUGGGG